AGAGUUUGAUCCUGGCUCAGAACGAACGCUGGCGGCGUGUUUAAGACAUGCAAGUCGCACGGAGUCAUUUGUGUAGCAAUACUUGAAUGGCUUAGUGGCGCACGGGUGAGUAACAUGUGAAUUACAUGCCCUAUAGUGGGGAAUAGCCCAGGGAAACUUGGAUUAAUACCCCAUGGUCUCGCAAGAGUAAAGGUGGCCGCAAGGCUGUCGCUAUAGGAUUGGUUCGCACCCUAUCAGCUUGUUGGUGAGGUAACGGCUCACCAAGGCUACGACGGGUACCUGGUCUGAGAGGACGAUCAGGCACACUGGAACUGAGACACGGUCCAGACACCUACGGGUGGCAGCAGUCGAGAAUAAUUCACAAUGGGGGCAACCCUGAUGGUGCAACGCCGCGUGGAGGAUGACGGUCUUCGGAUUGUAAACUCCUGUCAUCUGGGAGUAAGACCUGGUCGUUAAUAGCGGACAGGGUUGAUAGUACCAGAAGAGGAAGGGACGGCUAACUUCGUGCCAGCAGCCGCGGUAAUACGAAGGUCCCGAGCGUUGUUCGGAAUCACUGGGCGUAAAGGGAGCGUAGGCGGCGUGGUAAGUCAGAUGUGAAAUCCCGGGGCUCAACCCCGGAACUGCAUCCGAUACUGCCGUGCUAGAGGAUUGGAGAGGUAGCUGGAAUUCUUGGUGUAGCAGUGAAAUGCGUGGAUAUCAAGAGGAACACUCGUGGCGAAAGCGAGCUACUGGACAACUCCUGACGCUGAGGCUCGAAAGCCAGGGUAGCGAAAGGGAUUAGAUACCCCUGUAGUCCUGGC
This 800-nucleotide ribosomal RNA is filed under the name uncultured bacterium. RNAcentral describes it as "bacterial SSU rRNA". It matches the Rfam family "Bacterial small subunit ribosomal RNA", at positions 8 to 800 of the family's 1533-position model. The record is from RNAcentral.